RNAcentral lists this ribosomal RNA (319 nucleotides) under uncultured eukaryote. Its description in RNAcentral is "partial 18S ribosomal RNA". It matches the Rfam family "Eukaryotic small subunit ribosomal RNA", at positions 1470 to 1796 of the family's 1831-position model. The record is from RNAcentral.
CCCUUAGAUGUUCUGGGCCGCACGCGUGCUACACUGAGUGGAUCAGCGGGUCAGGUUGCGCGAAAGUGUUUCCUAAUCUUUAAAUCCGCUCGUGAUGGGGAUUGACGGUUGCAAUUUUCCGUCAUGAACGAGGAAUACCUUGUAAGCGCGGGUCAUCAUCCCGCGCUGAAUACGUCCCUGCCCUUUGUACACACCGCCCGUCGCUCCUACCGAUUGGAUGGUCCGGUGAAGCCUCGAGAUUGUGGCGGUUGCCUUUAUUGGUGGCCGCCGCGAGAACUUGUCUAAACCUUAUCAUCUAGAGGAAGGUGAAGUCGUAACA